This is a long non-coding RNA of Uranotaenia lowii, 1020 nucleotides long. RefSeq lists it as uncharacterized. The transcript has 3 exons. The record is from RefSeq and is a predicted model, not a curated record. NCBI's taxonomy places the organism in Eukaryota, Metazoa, Arthropoda, Insecta, Diptera, Culicidae.
AAGCAAAGGAAAAAAACGCGUGUGUUUUGGUUUUUCCAAAUUGUGAAAACUCCCGUUUUUUUUAAUAAUAUAUCAGCUUGAAUGACUUAACAUCCAAGGUGCAUGGCAAACUGUGAACCUUGCGUGUGCAGAUGCUCCGAAAGCAAAACACAGCCACUGGCAAUUUCUUUUAUUAUUGGAACCCAGAUACGAUUCCCCAAGAUCCACCGGAACAGAAACCAGGGCUCCUUCUACGGCUAGCGGAAGACGCUGGCCAGUUCGAUACACAUCAUGCAGACCAAAGCUGGAACAGCGCUGAUGCGAAAACCAAGAAUGUUUGUGGUUACACAGAAAAUUUCGAUCAAAUUAACACCGGAAUCCGGAUUCAACAUGUAUCCGGCAUCUAUGAGUUUCCUUUGGAAUGCCGAUGCUCGGUGCGUCAGCCGUAAAUAUUCAUUCAGUGCUUAUUUCAGUUUUUCUUCUCCAUCUCUUCAUUUAUUUAUUUUUUAUUCUAGAACAGCGCCGGAGUUUGUGACGAAAAAUUUGGCAACUGCGGGCCGCUGCUGAUUUGUCGACCAAAACUCAAAUUUCAGUAAACCGCUACCACCAAAUACCUCACAUGGAAACUUCUGGUAAUACGAUGUGGCCUGCGGCAAGGCCGGCCGAUUACGUAAAAAUCGAUUCCACGGUUCCUGGGAAAGACAGGUGAGGAUAUAGGCGGCGAGAUAGCCGUAGGCUUAGAAAAUAGCUGUUCCUGUGCCAAAACGAGCUCGGAACCGAGAGGUUCUGAACCUGUCGAAGUAGUGAAACUUGCAGUUCAUCACUCCAGUAUUAGGCGGCUCGAAUGGAUUUUAAUGUAUCCCAAAAUUGUUAAGCCAUAGAUUUAACAGGAUUUGAAAGUCAGUACAAGUUUAAAUUCGACAUAGAAUGGAUCAACACAUCAUGAUACAUCGCAUGCGAUAAUGAUAAGAACAGAUAACAAUCGUAUGGGUGCUAAAACAAUCGGAUAUGGAACCACACCGCUCAUACUUAUAAGCAAGA